AAGUGGGAAACGAUGUGGGAAGGCCCAGACAGCCAGGAUGUUGGCUUAGAAGCAGCCAUCAUUUAAAGAAAGCGUAAUAGCUCACUGGUCGAGUCGGCCUGCGCGGAAGAUGUAACGGGGCUAAACCAUGCACCGAAGCUGCGGCAGCGACGCUGAUGCGUUGUUGGGUAGGGGAGCGUUCUGUAAGCCUGUGAAGGUGUGCUGUGAGGCAUGCUGGAGGUAUCAGAAGUGCGAAUGCUGACAUAAGUAACGAUAAAGCGGGUGAAAAGCCCGCUCGCCGGAAGACCAAGGGUUCCUGUCCAACGUUAAUCGGGGCAGGGUGAGUCGACCCCUAAGGCGAGGCCGAAAGGCGUAGUCGAUGGGAAACAGGUUAAUAUUCCUGUACUUGGUGUUACUGCGAAGGGGGGACGGAGAAGGCUAUGUUGGCCGGGCGACGGUUGUCCCGGUUUAAGCGUGUAGGCUGGUUUUCCAGGCAAAUCCGGAAAACUAAGGCUGAGGCGUGAUGACGAGGCACUACGGUGCUGAAGCAACAAAUGCCCUGCUUCCAGGAAAAGCCUCUAAGCAUCAGGUAACAUCAAAUCGUACCCCAAACCGACACAGGUGGUCAGGUAGAGAAUACCAAGGCGCUUGAGAGAACUCGGGUGAAGGAACUAGGCAAAAUGGUGCCGUAACUUCGGGAGAAGGCACGCUGAUAUGUAGGUGAAGUCCCUCGCGGAUGGAGCUGAAAUCAGUCGAAGAUACCAGCUGGCUGCAACUGUUUAUUAAAAACACAGCACUGUGCAAACACGAAAGUGGACGUAUACGGUGUGACGCCUGCCCGGUGCCGGAAGGUUAAUUGAUGGGGUCAGCGCAAGCGAAGCUCUUGAUCGAAGCCCCGGUAAACGGCGGCCGUAACUAUAACGGUCCUAAGGUAGCGAAAUUCCUUGUCGGGUAAGUUCCGACCUGCACGAAUGGCGUAAUGAUGGCCAGGCUGUCUCCACCCGAGACUCAGUGAAAUUGAACUCGCUGUGAAGAUGCAGUGUACCCGCGGCAAGACGGAAAGACCCCGUGAACCUUUACUAUAGCUUGACACUGAACAUUGAGCCUUGAUGUGUAGGAUAGGUGGGAGGCUUUGAAGUGUGGACGCCAGUCUGCAUGGAGCCGACCUUGAAAUACCACCCUUUAAUGUUUGAUGUUCUAACGUUGACCCGUAAUCCGGGUUGCGGACAGUGUCUGGUGGGUAGUUUGACUGGGGCGGUCUCCUCCUAAAGAGUAACGGAGGAGCACGAAGGUUGGCUAAUCCUGGUCGGACAUCAGGAGGUUAGUGCAAUGGCAUAAGCCAGCUUGACUGCGAGCGUGACGGCGCGAGCAGGUGCGAAAGCAGGUCAUAGUGAUCCGGUGGUUCUGAAUGGAAGGGCCAUCGCUCAACGGAUAAAAGGUACUCCGGGGAUAACAGGCUGAUACCGCCCAAGAGUUCAUAUCGACGGCGGUGUUUGGCACCUCGAUGUCGGCUCAUCACAUCCUGGGGCUGAAGUAGGUCCCAAGGGUAUGGCUGUUCGCCAUUUAAAGUGGUACGCGAGCUGGGUUUAGAACGUCGUGAGACAGU
This 1585-nucleotide ribosomal RNA is filed under the name Escherichia coli. RNAcentral describes it as "partial 23S ribosomal RNA". It matches the Rfam family "Bacterial large subunit ribosomal RNA", at positions 1061 to 2630 of the family's 2925-position model. The record is from RNAcentral. Lineage: Bacteria; Pseudomonadati; Pseudomonadota; Gammaproteobacteria; Enterobacterales; Enterobacteriaceae.